RNAcentral lists this ribosomal RNA (653 nucleotides) under uncultured bacterium. Its description in RNAcentral is "bacterial SSU rRNA". It matches the Rfam family "Bacterial small subunit ribosomal RNA", at positions 28 to 662 of the family's 1533-position model. The record is from RNAcentral.
GAUGAACGCUGGCGGCGUGCCUAAUACAUGCAAGUAGAACGCUGAAGGAAGGAGCUUGCUCUUUCCGGAUGAGUUGCGAACGGGUGAGUAACGCGUAGGUAACCUGCCUGGUAGCGGGGGAUAACUAUUGGAAACGAUAGCUAAUACCGCAUAACAGUAGAUAUUGCAUGAUAUCUGCUUGAAAGGUGCAAUUGCAUCACUACCAGAUGGACCUGCGUUGUAUUAGCUAGUUGGUGAGGUAACGGCUCACCAAGGCGACGAUACAUAGCCGACCUGAGAGGGUGAUCGGCCACACUGGGACUGAGACACGGCCCAGACUCCUACGGGAGGCAGCAGUAGGGAAUCUUCGGCAAUGGACGGAAGUCUGACCGAGCAACGCCGCGUGAGUGAAGAAGGUUUUCGGAUCGUAAAGCUCUGUUGUAAGAGAAGAACGAGUGUGAGAGUGGAAAGUUCACACUGUGACGGUAUCUUACCAGAAAGGGACGGCUAACUACGUGCCAGCAGCCGCGGUAAUACGUAGGUCCCGAGCGUUAUCCGGAUUUAUUGGGCGUAAAGCGAGCGCAGGCGGUUAGAUAAGUCUGAAGUUAAAGGCUGUGGCUUAACCAUAGUACGCUUUGGAAACCUGUUUAAACUUGAGUGCAAGAGGGGAGAGU